This 16511-nucleotide long non-coding RNA is filed under the name Homo sapiens (human). RNAcentral's name for it is "long non-coding RNA NONHSAT251351". Lineage: Eukaryota; Metazoa; Chordata; Mammalia; Primates; Hominidae. The record is from RNAcentral.
AGAUAGGGUCUCGCUCUUUCUCCCAGGGUGGAGUGCAGUGGUGCUAUCUCCGCUCACUGCAACCUCUGCUUCUGGACAAAUUAUACUUUUUAAACUGCACUGACUUAUACAACAGUCUUUUUUUUUUUUUUUUUAAGACAGGGUCUCACUCUGUCUCCUGGCUGGAGUGCAGUGGCAUGAUCACAGCUCACUGCAGCUUGACUUCCUGGGAAGCUCACCUGAGUAGCUAGGACAACAGGCACAUACCACCACAGCCAGCUAAUUUUUCUAUUUUUUGUAGAAGUGGGGUUUCACCAUGUUUCCCAGGCUGGUCUCAAACUCCUGGGUUCAAGUAAUCACCCUGCCUUGGCCUCCCAAAGUGUUGGGACUACAGGCGUGAGCCACAGCACCUGGCCUUAUGCCAACAAAACUCUUAUGAGUAAAACCAUUAUUAAGGUCUGUAGUAUCAGAGACCUCAAAAUGUGAAUAUACAGCAUAUGAUUUACUACAUCAUUUAAUAAAUGUCUGUUUAUUUCAGUAAUGGGAGAAUAUCACUUUUACUUUGAUAAUAUAAGGGUAGAUCAAAAGUUUCAGAUAUGUAUGAGAAAAGCCAGAUUAUAUUUUUAAAUGCUAUAUGUACUCUACAUCUCUUUCAUAAUGGAAUAGGAGAAAGAUGUCCUGAAAAAACUGGCAACAGUGGAUAGCCUCAGAGUUCUAAAUUAAUCAAAAUAUCUCAGGUUUCUUUCAUUCACAUAAUCUUUCUUCUGUGCUUAUGAUCUCAGUGGGGUUUCUUGGAUUCUGAGAUAAUGUGCCCCUUUGCUAUCUAGAAUGUGUAUGCCAUAGAAAUACUGGAUAGAGGUAGGAUCAGCAGCUAAUCUAUGAGAAAUUUUGUAUGAUUAGACACAAAAAAUUGAAUGCUUAUCCUACCGUCCAGUAAAAAAUAUUUUUCGGUGUCCCCAAAAAUAGCAAUUUAUUAAUGGAAAAAUAUAAUUUUAUCACUACCACUUUUUAAUGCUACAAGUUUCUCCAGGAGCAAAGGAUAAGAAGAAAAAGAGAAAUUUUAAUAAGUUAUUAUUAUUAUUAUUUUUGAGACAGUCUCGCUCUCUUGCCCAGGCUGGAGUGCAGUGGCUCCAUCUCAGCUCACUGCAACCUCCGCCUCCCGGGUUCAAACAGUUCUCCUGCCUCAGCCUCCCAAGUAGCUGGGAAUACAGGUGCACACUGCCACAACUGGUUAAUUUUUUUUUUUUUUUUGAGGUGAAGUUUCAUUCUUGUUGCCCAGGCUGGAGUGCAAUGGCGCGAUCUCAGCUCACCACAACCUCCGCCUCCCGGGUUCAAGCAGUUCUCCUGACUCAGCCUCCUGAGUAGCUGGGAUUACAGGCACCUGCCACCACGCCUGGCUAAUUUUGUAUUUUUAGUAGAGAUGGGGUUUCUCCAUGUUGGCCAGGCUGGUCUCAAACUCCUGACCUCAGGUGAUCUGCCCACCUCGGCCUCCCAAAGUGCUGGGAUUACAGGUGUGAGCCACCGCGCCUGGCCACACCUGGCUAAUUUUUUGUAUUUUAGUAGAGAUAGGGUUUCACUGUGUUGCCCAGGCUGUUCUCGAACUCCUGAGCUCAGGCAGUCCGCCCGCCUCGGCCUCCCAAAGUGCUGGGAUUAUAGGCGUGAGCCACCACACCCGGCCAAUAAGGUAUUAUAAUGGCAGAAUGUGGUUGAAGUGAAUCCAAAUAAGGAUAAUAAUAGUUCCUACUUCACAGUAAAGUUUUGAAGAUUAAAUCAGAUAACAUGUCAAAUAUUUAAUACUUUGCUGCUAUUCUUACUGUGUGAAUAUGUACAAUAUGAUACCUGUUUGUAGGCAGCUGAUAUUUUGUGUUACUGUUUGCAUUAAUUUAACAUUAAUGGGUAAAGAUGGCAGGUGAAAACUCCUAAACAUCUGGGGGCCGAAAUGGCAGUGGACUCCUUACUGAAAACAAGGAGAUAAAGUGAAACUCUGCAUACUGAACAAUGAGCUAGCUUCUUGCCUUAUUUCGUCUCUGAGAACUGACAGCUCAGCUCCUACUACCUGAGAUAGAUUUCUCUCCAGAAAAACUGACCCAUCCUGAAGAAAAACCUUUAAAAAACAAUGCUGGGGGUGUGAGGCUGAGGAAAAUGUUUUGCUGUUCCCUUACCUAUAAUGAAGCUCACCACUGAAAAGUCCUACCCAUGUACACAGAGAUGUUCCAGAUAGCUUUCUCUGUGUCUCUCAAAUAUGAAGGAUCCUGAGAUAAUUACGGCCAAGCUUCUAACUUGAAAGACUAUGACCAAACCAAACAGCAAAAAGGAACUUAAAGGAAAUACAGGUUUAAUAGCCCUUAUCUGAAACAGCUGGGACCAGAAGUGUCUCAAAUUUUGAAAUAUCUGCCUAUAUAUAAUGAGAUAGCUUGGGGAUGGGACCCAAGUCUAAACAAAAUUCAUUUAUAUUUCAUGUACACUUAAUACAAAUAGCCUGGAGUUAAUUUUAUACAGUAUUUUGAAAUAAUUGUGUGCAUGAAACAAAGUUUUGACCCAUCUCAUAAAAUCAGAUAGGGAAUUUUCUACUUGUGGCAUCAUGUUGGCACUCAAGUUUCGGAUUUUGGAGCAUUUUGGAUUUUAGAUUUUCAGAUUAUGGAUGCUCAACCUGUAGUGUUAAUGCAGGGAACAAAGAAAAUUUUAAAACAACCAAAAAACCUAAGUUAAUAUCCUUAGAAUUUUGAGAAGCCAUUGCACUCUCCAGAACAAGGUACUACUUAAAAGACUUGGAUUACCAGCUAAGUACAGUGGCUUAUGCCUGUAAUCCCAGGGCUUUGGGAGGUCGAGGUAGGAGGAUCACUUGAGGCCAGGAGUUUGAGACCAGCCUGGAAAACACAGUGAGACCUCUAUUUCCACAAAAAAUUUAAAAAUUAGCUGUGCACCCAUAGUCCUAGCUAUUCAGGACACUGAAGUGGAGGAUUGCUUGAACUCAGGAGUUCAAGGUUACAGUGUGCUGUGAUCGUGCCACUGCACUACAACCUGGGUGAGAGAGGGAGACCUUAUCUAUCGUGAAAGAAAAAGACUUGGAUUCCCCAUAUCUCUUAAAUGCAAGAGAAAACAAAGGGAAGUCCCAAUAUGAUCAAUUCUGUUAUGACAACUGUGUUAUUUGGACAGUAGUCAGUCCUGACUGAGGGCCGUAGAACUCGAAGAAGUCUCCCUGUGAUUUGGAGAAUAAAAAAUGACAAACGAUUCUGAUGAUCAAUUAAUAGAAGAUACAAAUGAAGUUGAACAAAUUACAACCAAGGCAAUUACUACUUCCAGAGAUACAAAAAUAUUAUAAAAGAAAGAAAAUGUAAUCAUGGUAUGCUAUAGAAGACAAUAUUAUCUAUGUACAUUUAUAUAUUCGAUAUGAAUUUAAAAAAAUUAUACAAUUAAGUGAUGAUAGGAGUAGAAGUCCCAGUGUAAGAUCAGGUUGGGGAAGGAGAAUAGGGGGAGAAGUAUGAAAAGCAAAAUCCUCAUCUUCCAUAGCAGAGAGUUAGAUAAUAUUUAUAAUUAAAAAGAAAAAAUGAGGGGAUUGUAAGCAGAGGAGGCAAUAUGCUAAUAUAUUUGGAGAUUAGAUGCCCAGGUUUUAAAAAAUGCUUUAUUUAUUUUUUAAUAAACAGAUACAGAGUCUCGCUUUGUUGCCCAGGCUGGUCUCGAAUGCCUGGCCUCAAUCCUCUUGCCUCAGCCUCCCAAAGUGCUGGGAUUAUAGGCGUGAGCCACCACGUCUGAUCAAAUGCCCAGAUACUAAGAAUUAGAAUCUAAUCCAAGCUCUGUCACUUAGUUAAUCUGUGACUGGGUAAAUUACUUAAUAUUUCUGCUCCAGAGUUUCAUCAUUUUUAAAAUGAUCAUUCUAAGAAUUUACUUCAUAAAUGCAGAGAGCUUAGAACAUAAUUGGCACAUUUUUAAUAAGUGUUCAAAUAAAUGUUAUAAUUAAAACCUUGUCACUUGGAAAUGAAGUAAACAGCAGAGAAGUGACUAAAAGUUGAAAGUGGCUGCCUCUGGAGAAUGGGAAUGAGAGGUAGGGAGAACAGGACAGGGGUCUAACAUUUUCUCUAUAAUGUCUUACAGCAACACUGUCCAAUAGAAUUUUUUUUUUUUUUUUUUGAGACAGAGUCUCAUUCCAUUAUCCAGGCUGCCCAGGCUAGAGUGCAGUGGCAUGAUCUCAGCUCACCACAGCCUCUGCCUCCCAGGUUCAAGCAAUUCUCCUGCCUCAGCCUCCUGAGUAGCUGGGAUUACAGGCACCUGCCACCAAGCCUGGCUAAUUUUUUUUAUUUUUUAGUAGAGAUGGGGGUUCACCAUGUUGGCCAGGCUGAUCUUGAACUCCUGACCUGAGGUGAUCCACCUGCCUCGGCCUCCCAAAGUGCUGGGAUUGCAGGCGUGAGCCACUGCACCUGGCCCAAUAUAAUUUUAAUGCAAACCAUUACAUGAUUUUAAAUCUUACACUUAAAAAAUUUAAAAAGAAAGUGAAAUUAAUUUUAAUGUUUUAUUUAAUCCUAUGUAUCCAAAAUAUUUAAAAUAUGUAAUCAUUAUAAACAAAUUAGAGAUUUUAUAUUAUUUUGUUUUGUACUAUUUGAAACCCAACAUAUAUUUUUACAUUUACAGCACAUCUCAAUUCACACUAGCCACGUUUUAAGUGUUCAAUAACCACAUGUGGCUAGUAGCUAUCAUACUGGACAACUAUGGUAAUAUUGGAUUUUUAAAAACAAUACAUAUCAUCAAUGGCUGCUAUUAAAUCAUAGAGAAACCCAGCCACUUUAUGUCUCCUGAUUAAAGACCACUACUUAAUUUGUACAGUGGUCUACUAAAAAAAAAAAAAAGACAGAAAAAAAGGAAGCAAGCAAACAAGCAAGCCUGAAUCUGAUCAAGCCUGUAGAUUCAAUUACCAAUUUACAGAAAAUAUAGAGGAGAAAAUAACACAUUAAAUGGCAUGUCAAGGAUGCAAUCAGCAAAAUCCAGAUGGUGAGAGACUCUUAGUAGACAAGCAAACCAAAAACAGGAAUUUUAAAAAUGUGACUGGGAAGGAAUUCAUGAAUUUAAAAAGACAUGGCUGGGUGCAGUGGCGCACGCCCGUAAUCUCAGCACUUUGGGAGCCUGAAGUGGACAGAUCACUUAGGUCAGGAGUUCCUGACCAGCCUGGCUAACAUGGCGAAGCCCUGUCUCUAAUAAAAAUACAAAAAAUUAGCCAGGCGUGGUGGCAUGCACCUGUAGACACAGCUACUCUGGAGGCUGAGGCUGGAGAAUCACUCGAACCCAGGAGGCAGAGGUUGCAGUGAACAAGAUUGCGCCACUGCACUCCUGCCUGGGCGACAGAGUGAGACUCCAUCUAAAAAAAAAAAAAGAAAAUAAAAUAAUAACAAGACAAAAGACUUGUCAAUAAAUUGUAAUAUGUGAUCCUUAUUUAGAUCCUGACUAGAACUCUAACAAUUUUUAUACUUGUGAAAUAACUGAAAAUCUGAUAUUAUUUUUACUAAUUCUUUUUGAGGCACAAUAAUACUUUUAGUUUUUUUAAAGAGCUAUUAUUUCUUAGGAAUAUAUGCUGAAAUAUUUAUGGAUAAAAUUAUAUGAUAUCUAGGAUUUGCUUCAAAAUAAGAUGGGGGAUGGCAACUUACGGAAAGUGGGUGGGAGUUUAGAUGAAAUGAAAUUGGCCAUAAAUUGAUAACUACUGAAGCUAGAUGAUAGGUACAUGGAGGUUCCUUACUUUACUCCUGUAUAUGUUGUUUUAAAUCUUCCACAAUAAGAGACUGAAAACAAAACUAUGAGGCAUGGUAUUAAUUUUAAAAAUAAACACUUAAAGACUAUAGGUCUUACCUAAGCCCAACAUUAAUUCCUUCAGACCUGAGGAGAGCUUUUUUUCUUAUUAAGCCCAGGAAACCUAUAUAUGUCAUCAGUCUGACUUUACACAGUCUCGCUUUCCAGCUCAUUUGAUACGCUCCAUCAGAAAUAAAUUUUCUAUUUAAAAUCUGUUUGUAAUGAUUUGAAAUUACCCCCUUGACAACCUAUAAAAGGCUUUAACACUUAACUAAAGGAAGAAGAAUUCUCAAAAAACAACAUCAGGCAAAUUCAAAAAGAUAAAUUCAAGACACUAGUCGAUACAGCUGGAGAAGUUACUUUUAUUCUUGCAGUUUUAUACUAGGAAGUCAACAUUUAAUAAGCCAUCAUCCACAAUUGAUUAAAAAUGUUUAAUCCUUAAAUUGUGCAUCAAUAUCCUAUGACUCCAAAUUUUAUUUAUCACUCUCCUUCAAGUCUGAAGAAAAUGAUUAAUUUGCUAAGUUCCACAGACAGUACAGUCCCACUGACAUAACAUUUAGUAUGAUGUCCUACUCUCAUAUUAGAAUUAAGGACAGCCAGUAUCAAACUGGCCUGAAACCUGAUUGUGUUCCUGGUUCAGAAUACCUGUAGUAAAUCUGUAAAUCCACACCAAGACACAACAUUAAACUAGGGUGUGUAUAUCUUAUAAAAACCUUUUCACAGUAAAAAUCAACAUUAAAAUUUUACCAAAUUCCAACAUUAUGGUUUUUGAAUCCAAUUAAGCUUUCAAAAUGCCUGAUUAGCUGUGAAUUAAUUAUAAAUAACUUCAUGUAGUUUGCCCAGCAUUUCAAAAUGGUUAUGGACUAUCAUGUUUAAAAUGUCAAAGUAUGCUAUACAUAUUGCACUUUUCUGCUAGGCUGGGCUAGUAUCUUCCAUGGCAAGAUCCUCAAACUACUGAAUAAAAUACACUUUUAAAUCAAUAUAGGUACUUGAUUAAUUUCCCUGAAAUUAUCAACAUCAUUACCAAAAUCUUCCAGGAUUUUGUAAGAUUUGAUUCCUUAAAUACAGUUUUAAAGUUAAACUUAUGGAGGGAAAAAAACCCUCAUAGAUUGACUGUAAAUUUUACGUCCUUUUUUGGUCCCUCAAUGACCAAAGAGAAUUUUAAACAAAUUAUGCUUCAUGUUUCCUGGCUUAAUAAAAAGCUACAAUUUUUAUUAUCCAAAUUAAGAAAUAUUAUACUAAUCAAAAGCUAUUAAUUUUGAAAUGUCUAUGUAUGUCUGUCUGUAGGUCCCCUUAGAACCUUUCCAAACAUUUAUAAUCAAGAGAUUUUAAUCAAUUAUGUACUAGAAUCAUAUUAAAGAAAAACUUAUUUUGCAAAAAUAAAAUCACUUUCCAAUAUGCUUGACAGAAACAAGCUAUUCAUUUUCAUUUGUGUUCCACUGAAGACAUUACUGAAAUCUGUCCAAUGGUUUAUUUCCAAGUGGUCCACUAUGGAAUUCUUCGGAAUGUUUUAAGAUUGGCUGUAGCUAGAGUUCUGACUUCCAUUUGGACCCUGCUCUCCUUCACUGUUCAAAUGGGGAAGAAAGAGAUUUUAUACCAAUUAAAAGAUCCAUUUUUACACCCUGAUAAGCCUACUGACUUUUAAAUUCAUUAUUCUGUGGCACAACUAUACAAAACAAAGACAUUCCUCAUUAUAAGACACGUGAAAAAUUAAAAUCCAGAAGACUAACAAACAUUGGUUUUAUGUUUUUAUUCUUAUAUAACUUUGUGCCCUCACAUAUAACAAGCAUUCUGGAAGUUAGUGUCCAUAUAUACUCAAAAACUUUAAAUUAGGGUAUGGGAUUUCAUUGUUAUUACAGGUAUCACUCAACAUAGAGAUUACAGCUUCUUCUAAACAAAUUUCCUAUAAAAUUAAAUCUUACAUAUAAAAUCCUAUUCCUACUAUUUAUGAAAAACAAGAAGUGUUCUUCAAAAAAAAAAAAAAACCAAAACUGUUGUCCAAAGGCAUAAUAAAAUCAUAUAUAAAUACAGCAAACCUUUAUAAGUCAGCAAGAAAUAUGGUAAUUUCCUGGAAAAUGCUGAAUACUUAAAAUAAAAAUGCUGAAUACUUAAAAAUAACUAAAACUGAAAAUACCAGUAACUUUGGCAAUAGGAUUAUUGCCUUAUCUUGUCCACCAUCAUCUUGCAGCUUCAGGCCCUGCCACUAGUGGAGAAUCACUCAGGGAAUUUCUGCAAAAAAUGCAUCCAAAGGUAGCUGUUUGAAUGACUGCCUUAAACAGCUCCUUGAAUAAAGUAUUAACUUUUUCCAAAUUGUAACAUUAACUUAUGAGUAGCAAUCCAUAAAUCUAUCUUGUUAUAUAACAAUCAUUUUUCUAAAGAAACAAUUAAGAUGGAUGGCAUUUCUUUAUUUCCCUUCUGACUUUUUCUCCCUGCCCCAAAUGAACUGAUACACAGUGAGGGCUGAGAACCACUGAACUAAAUGAACACAUCUUACUUAAAACACACACAUACACCCCAAUAACAACAAAAAAAACCCUCUUAGCACAGGUGAUUCAUUUUUAGCAAAAAUAUAUUCUUAUGUGCCAUGGACCUUAGGGUCACUUAAAAACCAAAAUUCUUUAUCUUUACAAUAUCAGAUCAUUCAUUGAAAUUUUUGAAAAUUGCUACUGAAAUUUAUAAAACAGGACAAUAGCCAGCAGUGAAAAAAAAAAAAAAAAAAGAUGGCACAGAAUCAAACUGACAUGAAACUACUAUAGUUCUGAAUUCUGCCCUGAAUUUCAGAUGAACUUACCUAAUUCUGUCAGCUUUAAAUUUAUGGUAUAUGACCAUAUGUUGAGAGAUACCUGUAAUAUACCUCCACUGCAUUAGGAAAAGUUACUAAUCAGAUUAGUGAUUUUUUUAAAUGAGACAUUCUCAAUCAAAUCACAAAUUUAAAAAAUAAAAUUAACAUGGAUCAUGAAGUUUUGGAAGAAAUGUUUUAAAAACUACAAAACAACAUAAUCUAAGAAAAAUAUAGUAAGUAUGAUAUAUGAUUAAAUGACAUCAAUAAUUAAAGUCUACAAAGUACCUGUUUGGAGGUGGUUUUGGUUUUGGCAUCUUACUAAGAAUGGUUGCCAUCUCUUUUCUCUCAUCGAAAUUCUUCCACUGCUCAUAUAGUUUUAAAAUAACCCUGAUUAUUUCCAAAAUCUAGAAGAAAAUAUUUGAAAAGUUCUCAGUGGCAAAAACAAGCAACAUUUUUUAUAUAAAGAGCAUACAUCACUACACAACCCUCAGAAAACAGUAAAUAGUCUCUGUCCUUAAAUCCUGAUAAAUUUGAAAGCAGUAUUUUUCACCACAGUGCUGUUUAGGAUUUUCCUUCUAGCAUCUCAUUUUUCAGCAUGUGUGCAUUGUCCAUUCUUAUCUAUCUCUGCAGCUGAUUUCCUUCCAUCUGAUGGUAUCUUUUAAACUGAAACAUACUAAGAAUAAAGGUUCUAAUCAUGAGGGAAUAUACCACUAUAGAGCACACUCCUCUAGUAUAAAUUAUUUUAAACAACUUAAUCGGGGGUAGUGCACAAAAGAUGUUUUGAUUCUCUGUUACUACACAUACAUUAAGGUGCUCAAAAACUGGCAGCUACAAAUUUGAAACAACUAGUUAACAAAUUAGCUAUUUUUUUCCCACCUGAGUAGAACCUAACCUUAGGAUUAAUUUUAAUGCAUUUAACACUUGAGCAGAAAAGCUAGAAACACAGCAAAAGCCAUUCUGCCAGGAGAUAGGCUAUGUUACAGAAGUUCACAGUAGUAUUCAGUGGUUACCAGGGAGCUUUUAAAAUAAUCCUGGGAAUGAGAGGCUACUUUGCAACCAAUUAAACCAAAAGUUUACCAUUCUGUUUAAUCCUAAACUGAAAAGAGAUACAUAACUUAAAUAAUCAGCAUUAACUCUUCCUACCAAACUUUUUUUUUUUUUAAACGGAGUCUCGCUCUGUUGCCCAGGCUCGCGUGCAGUGGCACGAUCUUGGCUCACUGCAACCUCUGCCUCCCAGGUUCAAGCAAUUCUGUCUCAGCCUCCCGAGUAGCUGGGAGUACAGGUGCAUGCCACCACACCCAGCUAAUUUUUGUAUUUUCAGUAGAGACGGGGUUUCACCAUAUUGGUCAGGCUGGUCUUGAACUCCUGACCUCAGGUGAUCCGCCCACCUAGGCCUCCCAAAGUGCUGGGAUUACAGACACAAACCACCAUGCCCAGCCCAUGUUUCUUAAUAUUUUGUAACCAAUAAUCUUCUUAGCCUGGUGGACAUCACAAGAUUUUAGGCUCAUGAUAAGUAAAUAUGACAUUAAUUUUUAAACAUCCAAGUUUACAUACAACUAAGGGAAUACCUUUUCCAUAUCCACAGAAAGCUCAGCAAACCAUUGCCUGGCAUCUUUCUGCUGUACAACACAGGCUACAUGUAGGCAAGCUGAAAUGAAAAUGAGAGACAACUGUCCAUGUUUAACUGCAAACACAGAAUAUAUGAUCUAACAAAGAUUUUUCACUAUUUCCUGUGUAUUUUCCAACACUCUUUAAAAAACAUUAAACAGCUACAUAUGAGAGUUACCACUGACCAUCUCAUCAAUGUAAUCCGAGACAGAAAAAAUUACUAGAUUACAUCAAGUUCUUGACAUCUGGUCCUCACUGCGUGCUAGUCAUGGUGCAGUUGCCUUGAGAGUCAGGCACGUUAAAGAGGAAAAACAUCCAAUGAGGAGAGCAGAAAAGGGAAGUUAUCCCUGAGUAGUGUACAAAGUAGCCGUUAAACUGCACCCAGAAGUCAGUGUGACAAAACAAAACAAACAAAAAUGUUAAUUAAUAUACUAGGUUUUAACAAUGUUGACUGUGUUUCCACAUUUCAGUUAAAAGCAGUGUUGCCUGGCCUUUUUUCUUCCUUUUCAUUAUUAGCACAUGAUCAAGUUAUGUGAAAGCUGGGCACAUCCUUACAGAAUUCAGUGUUGUAAUCAAAUAAAGGUUAGAAAAUAAAUGUAAUAUACUGUAUACAAUAUUAGUUAUAUAUGUUAUAUACAAUAUAAACUAACAAAAGAGAGGAAUCUACAUCAUAAUUUUGCCUAAAACAAUUUCUACUGAGCAGCCUGUAUACCCUUAACCCACUCCAGCUUAAGUUAUACUCCGUGGUCUGGUUAUCCAUGUCUUUGCUAAGGAUGACAUUCUAGGCAAAUAGCAACUCAAAUGUGAACUGACACACUGGUUGCCCUAAGUCAAGCAAAGCUAUGAGUAGGGCUUAGGUCAAGAAGAGGUUAAAAAAAACCAAAUGACUGACAUGAUAAAAACAGGAAAUUAAAAUACAGUGGACAAUGCUAUUAACAUGGGCAUGCAUAGAGUACACUGAAGAUUGAGGAAGCAUCCUAAACCCAGACUGAGGUGAUGCUGAAAGGGUGGGGGAGGGUCACUGAAGAGCUGAUAUCUAAGCCAAGUCUUACAAAAAAAAAAAAUGAGAGUGGGAGAAGAGAAUAGUAUGUAUAUCAAUUGGGAGACGAAUUUGGCUAGCUCCGGGUUUCUCAAUCUUGGCACUACUGACAUCUUAGGUUGAACAAUUCUUUGACACUGUCUUGAAUACUACAAGAUGCUUGGCAGCAUCCCUGGCUUCUACCCACUAGAUGCUAGUAGCACCCUACCCUAGUUAUGACAACUAAAACCAAACAUUGCCAAAUGUCCCCUCGGGGCAAAAUUAUCCCCAGGUGAAACCACUAGCCUAGCUCAACAGUUUGGAAGAUAGACAGGCUCUCUGAGGAUGGGAGUGCUGGAGGCUAAUAAGCCAGUUAGGAGACUGCUGUGGUAACAUGGAUAGAAAUGAGAAGAUGACUAUGAGAUUACAGAAGGAACAAUCGAGAGGAAGGCACAAAAUGUACUGGUAAACAACUACAUGUGGGUAUUGAGGGAGAUGAAAGGGCCUAACUGCUGGGUUUCCAACUAAGGUAUAUAACUAGUGCUAUUCACCAAACUGGCAAAGACAUUAAAAGGAGGAACAUAUUUUGGGGCAAAGUGAUAAGCUCAAUCCUCAUCAUGAGUCUGAGGUGCUGGUGGGAUGCCAAGCGGAGCUAUGUAAAAGGAAGAUGGAUAUAAAGAACUGCCAAGUGGCAAGAUCUUGGCUAAAUAAAGAGAUUUAAAUGUUUCGGCAUGUAAGUGAUAGUAGAAGCCAUGAAUCUCAGUUAAAGUACCCAAGAAGAAGACAGCAGGGAUGGCAAAGAUGUGACACAUGUUCUGUUAUCCCUUCCUUCCUACCUAUGCAGAUCCCAGUAUUCCUACCCACUGGGUAGGACACCACUCAAAAUCCUUUCAAAUCCAGUCCUUUCAGGGAACUGCCAGUAAUACAGAAGUGUAAGUAUAACCUAUUUGUCAGCCCUGAUGUAAGAAGGCCAAGAAACAUCAACAUUUAAGGAAUAAUUGAACAACUGAACAAAGACAAACCAAUGGAAAAUAAGAGGGGAAAAUCAAGAGGAUGGAGUUAUAAAAAUCAAUAGAAGGGGCUGGGGUGCAGUGGCUCACGCCUGUAAUCCCAGCACUCUGAGAGGCCAAGGAGGGUGGAUCACCUGAGGUCAGGAGUUCAAGACCAGCCUGGCCAACAUGGCGAAACCCUGUCUCUACUAAAAAUACAAAAAUUAGCCAGGUAUGGUGGUGGACACCUAUAAUCCUCCUGUAGGCAGGAGAAUCGCUUGAACCCAGGAGGCAGAGGUUGCAGUGAGCCAAGAUCACACCACUGCACUCCAGCCUGGGAGACAGAGUGAGACUCCAUCUCAAAAAAAAAAAAAAAAAAAAAUCAAUAGAAGGAAAAGGAACAAAAAUUAACAAGUGCCCAAUAUAUAACAGGCAUUAUUUGGUGCUCUACAACCUAUCUCAUUUAAUUCUUCAAACGGCUCAGUGGAAUUAUUAGUAUUCUCUCCAUUUUACAAUUAAGGAAACAAACACGGAAAGGUCAGAUAAUUUUCCCACAAUUGUAAAGGAGGUAAAGUUUAAGCCUAGGACUAUCUGACUCCACCCAUUACAGCACUGCUUUCCACAGACUGUAGAAUGAAUGUACUUAACGUCUUCCUCCAGCCAAGCAUUAUGGACCACAGAUGCUCCUUUACUCAACCUCUGAGUAUUUGUUUGGGCUCAGGAUAUGAAAGCCCCAAUUAUUUUACAUGCUACAACUAAUAUUAGCUGGCUUAAUUCUGAACUUUUCCCUCUAAACAAACAAAUAUGUUCUAUUCAGACACCGAUUAAAACUAUUUUGAAUGGUUUCAAAAAAAAAAAAAAAAAACUUACCAAAAAGGGGGUGGGGGAAUAAUAAUCCUGAUUUAUGACAGUUGCAGUUCAUAUUAUUGAAAGCUCACAUGCAAGGAUUAGUCUAUUACUUCAUGGAACAUAAAAACAUAAAGUACAAUAGGGUGAAAUUUAGUUUAGGAUGACCUAAAUAAGUUUAUAACAAUUUAACUCAUAAAGGCACACCAUGCUUACAUACCUAAAGCUAUCAUGAAAGGAGGAUACAGUAGGCAAAGAUCCGUUCUGUAGGUAUCAUUCACUAUCCUCCUAUAGAAAUGUAAAUCAUAUUAUUACUGAAAGCAGAACUACCUCAUCUGAUUGUAUAUUUCCUCCAGAGAGGGCCAGAUUUCCCAUCUUUGCACACAUUUAUUUCCUUUUAUACUACUGAAGCACAGCUAUAAAAGUGAAAACAUCAAGGCAAAAGGAUGGAUACAUGAAUGUGACAACAAAUAAGCACAUAUCAAUGAAUAAAAUUACAGCUAAAUAUAUUUUAAAUUUCAAAAUCUCAUAACAAAUUAUAAACACAUUUUUCUAAUUUUUUAAAAAUCAGAAAAAUCAAAUUAAAAAACCAGAAAUUAUACAGUAAAUUUAUAUGUAUGUUGCAGACUACCAAAAAGUAUUCUGAUUACUUUAAAGAUAACUUCAGUCUUAAUUUUUAUGUUAACAGUCUGUGUUUUGUAUAAAAUUAAAUUUUAAUAGGUAUAUUUAUGGAACAGAUAAUUUAGGAUUGUUUUCAUUUUGGCAUUUACACCACUAUAGUUAUUAAAAUUCAACAAGUGGUAUUUUGCUCAACAUAAAAUAUCUUGGGGCAAUAGUUUAAUGACUUUAAAAAUACUUAACUUCAUAUUUAAUUGUCAACCUUCCUAUCUAAUAACAUGUUACACUAUUAAUAACUUCUGUUCUAAUUACCAUGCAAGGGGAAGCAACAUGUCUUCUUGGCCCAUGUCCUGCACAUACUGGAGCAAAGGUCUAUAAGGAUGAUACACUAUCAAGCAACAAUCCUAGAAACAGUUUAAAAAAUGUGUAUGUAUAAAAAACAGAUUUAUUACAACACAAAAAUGUUAUCAUUACCCAACUGAUUUGUAAUUGUGUAUUUCAAAGUGAAUUUCACUAACUCAUGCUUGCUUCCCUUUUAUUCUCUUAAGCUAGCAGUAUGACAGCCCUAAACUCUACCGUAAUAGUGAAGGCAGUGCUCUCUCUGGAAUAUACCUUGAUAAAUCGGUUGGCAGUCAGUCAGCAUCCAUUCAUUCCCUUAGAGACUCAAAGUGUCACAUCUGCAACACACUGAAACCUCUUAUUAGCCUAUAAAUUCAUAAUUCCCAACUGGAGGAGCAGAAUUCUGCCAAAGACAUAAUCUAUCUUUAAAUAACACUGCACGCACACACAAAUUGUGCACAUAAUUUAUGGUGGUUUAAUGUCCUGACUUGUCUGUUUGUAAUCCUUUCAUUAUAGUUACUUACUAUAGAACAGAAAAAUUUUCCCAUCCUAAGUAGGAUAUACAAAUUAUUUUACAGGCUUCAGAGAGACUCUAGGUGCUAAUAUAAAUAGGCUACCAUGAUUUCACCAUCACAUAUUAGGUGGAUGGUUUUAAAAUGUACCUCUCUAAAAUCAUUUCUUUAAAUAAUUUCCAACUUCAUUUAAUUUAAAAAUGUUUUAAUCUAUUAAUCACAGAAGAUUUACUUACCAUUAGUUCUAACAGAUAGAAUUCACAUUCUAAUAUCUGUUUAAAACAAAGAUUAUCAAUGAAAUGUCAAUAUGAAACCAAAUUAGAUAAGUCCACUUAAUCUAACAUAAAUUACAGACAUUAUAGUAAUUUAUCAAAAAUUUUUACUAAAAAGUUUUAAAAAUCCAGACAAUAAACAUAGUUUAUAUUAAAAUAAAUAUCUGCAAUAAAAAAUUACUAUUAGAAAUGCAAUUAUGAUUAUAAGGAUUUUAAUCCUUGUAAGGAAAAGCCAGCUUCUCACAAUCAUUCUUAUUACUCACUUUUAUUUAAAAUAUCCUGUAAAACCAUCAGAUUUUCCAGUAUACUUUCUACUCAGCAAAUGCAAAAAUACAAUUAUUUCUACUUAAUUUAAAAAAUGUAACUUAAAGAGAAUAAACAAAUCCCUUGCAAGGUGGAAAAAGGACAUACCUAUUAAAAUGUCAAUAGAAAUUCACCUUAUAUUUCAUAUUGUUCCAUUAGUUUUUAAUCCCAGCUAAAUAGUAGUAUCACCUGGGACCUUUUACACAGUACCAAUGUUGGGAGCCCCAAGGCUGAAAAUUCUGAUUUUGUUGUUCUGGAAAGGAUCCAACAUCAGUAUUAUUUACAAGUUCCCAAGGUGAUUUAAUGAGCAGCCAGGGUUGAUAAUCGCCACUAUGAAGUAUUUUUUUUAAAUGGUAAAAGCUAUUUAGCUUUAAUUUAGAAUAAUGUCUGUAUUUAUGUAAUAUUUGAAACUGCCAUUUCUAGGAAACUAUUAAAUUUAGUCUAAUAUAAAAUAGAGCUAGUUUAUAUAUAGCUUUGAUAAUUGUUCCAUUUUAUAUCAUAUACUUACAUGAUUCAUCCUAUAAGGAAAUUCCUUUGGAAAGGCAUAUGAAAAUCUAGUUUUUACUGCAGAAAAUAAAAAAAAAAUUUAAACUGAGAAAAUGGGAAAUAAAUUAACUCAAAAUUCCUUUAACAGAGCAGAAUAUUAGAGGGUAGAGCAAAAUUAUUUUCAGUAGGAAUUCUUGGCAACACUUACGGACGCAGAUUUUUAUUUACUUUCAGGGAAGGGGAAAGACUGGGGGGCAGGACACUCUACACAGCUUCAAUUUUAUAUUUACUACCUUAAGAAAGGAUUCUGAUGUUUAAAAAAGAAAAAGAUCAGGAAAAAAAAAUCACUGGCUUUUAUCAUUUCUAAAAUCUUUUCAGCUACAGAAUGGUAUUCUUCUGUUUUCCAGUGACUGAGCUUAGAAGGAACACAGGGGUUACAUAUGUGUUUACAAUAUAUACAAUUGGUAAAAAAUAUACAUAUAAAAUAUUGGGAGGAUAGUACACCAAAAAAAUGUUAACAGUGGUUAUUUGUGAGAUUUAAGAACUUUUUACUAAUCUGCACUUUCUAAACUUUUUACAAUGACCAGGUAUUUAUCAAAAUAUAUAUUUUAAUAAAAGCAUUAAUAUAUAUGCAAAGGUCUCGAGUUACUCAUAAAGUAGUAGUAGUAACACAUAAAGUUAGUACUCUAUUAUCUAUUACUUUAUUGGUUAGUCACUAAAUAAAGUACAAAUGAAAAAAAAAUGUUAACCAUCAAUCCCCCAUCUCCUUAAAAUGGUGUGAGCAUAUACACAUAAGUACUAUUUGAGAAACUGUAUUCAAGCCAUUAUGACACAUUUAAUUCAACCAAGUAACUACUGACAGGUCCUAAAAAAUGUUUAGUGUCAGCUUCCAUUUGUACAAAGCCCAAGUGAUUUCACUGAAAUUAAAAGAAAUUCCAUUUCUGGCCAGGCACAGUGGCUCAUGCCUGUAAUCCCAGCACUUUGGGA